CUGAUUGAAAAAGCUGAUGGCUUUAAUGGUGUUUUCCCUCAACAUGUGGCUGUGCUUUUAUUAACGAUGUUGAUUAGAUUGGUAAGAUGUGAUUGCAUUAAGCUAAGGAUGUUAUUUGUAGUAAAUAUGCUAUUUUUGUGUGAAGUGGGAAAUCUGGGUGUUGUUAUAUUCAUCUAGCUACGCCAUUUUUACAUCUCAUUUAUACUGUGGCAUAGUUAUUGCAAAAUUUCUGUUGAUUUGUAAAAGCUGUGAUGUUGAUUUUCUAUAGAUCUUUACUUUUCAUUUGUUUUAUUUUGUUUCUGGCUCACUGUGCAUGUCCGUUUGGGUGUUUCUCUCUGUUGGAUUAAUG
This 349-nucleotide unclassified non-coding RNA is filed under the name Hevea brasiliensis (rubber tree). The record is from RNAcentral. Lineage: Eukaryota; Viridiplantae; Streptophyta; Magnoliopsida; Malpighiales; Euphorbiaceae.